RNAcentral lists this ribosomal RNA (442 nucleotides) under uncultured bacterium. RNAcentral's name for it is "bacterial SSU rRNA". It matches the Rfam family "Bacterial small subunit ribosomal RNA", at positions 337 to 795 of the family's 1533-position model. The record is from RNAcentral.
UCCUACGGGUGGCAGCAGUGGGGAAUCUUGCGCAAUGGGCGAAAGCCUGACGCAGCAACGCCGCGUGCGGGAAGAAGGCUUUCGGGUUGUAAACCGCUUUCAGCAGGGAAGAAAAUGACGGUACCUGCAGAAGAAGGUGCGGCCAACUACGUGCCAGCAGCCGCGGUGACACGUAGGCACCAAGCGUUGUCCGGAUUUAUUGGGCGUAAAGAGCUCGUAGGCGGUUUAGUAAGUCGGGUGUGAAAACUUUGGGCUUAACCCAAAGCCUGCAUUCGAUACUGCUAUGACUUGAGUUCGGUAGGGGAGCGGGGAAUUCCUAGUGUAGCGGUGAAAUGCGCAGAUAUUAGGAGGAACACCGGUGGCGAAGGCGCCGCUCUGGGCCGAUACUGACGCUGAGGAGCGAAAGCGUGGGUAGCAAACAGGAUUAGAUACCCUAGUAGUC